CAGCAGCCACGGGAAUACGUAGGUGGCAAGCGUUGUCCGGAAUUAUUGGGCGUAAAGGGCUCGCAGGCGGUUUCUUAAGUCUGAUGUGAAAGCCCCCGGCUCAACCGGGGAGGGUCAUUGGAAACUGGGAAACUUGAGUGCAGAAGAGGAGAGUGGAAUUCCACGUGUAGCGGUGAAAUGCGUAGAGAUGUGGAGGAACACCAGUGGCGAAGGCGACUCUCUGGUCUGUAACUGACGCUGAGGAGCGAAAGCGUGGGGAGCGAACAGGAUUAGAUACCCCUGUAGUCCCUGUCUCUUAUAC
RNAcentral lists this ribosomal RNA (301 nucleotides) under uncultured bacterium. Its description in RNAcentral is "partial 16S ribosomal RNA". It matches the Rfam family "Bacterial small subunit ribosomal RNA", at positions 509 to 807 of the family's 1533-position model. The record is from RNAcentral.